CACGUAUUUAGCCGUCCCUUUCUGGUAAGAUACCGUCACUACUUGAACAGUUACUCUCAAGUACAUUCUUCUCUUACAACAGUACUUUACGAGCCGAAACCCUUCAUCACACACGCGGCGUUGCUCCAUCAGGCUUGCGCCCAUUGUGGAAGAUUCCCUACUGCUGCCUCCCGUAGGAGUAUGGGCCGUGUCUCAGUCCCAUUGUGGCCGAUCAGUCUCUCAACUCGGCUAUGCAUCAUCGUCAUGGUGAGCCAUUACCUCACCAUCUAACUAAUGCACCGCGGGACCAUCUCUUAGUGAUAGCAGAACCAUCUUUCAAAUGAAAACCCAUGCGGUUUUCAGUAUUAUACGGUAUUAGCAUCUGUUUCCAAAUGUUAUCCCCUGCUAAGAGGUAGGUUUCCCACGUGUUACUCACCCGUUCGCCACUCCUUGCAUUGUUUUAAACUCAUAUUGUGUCAAGCACGCUAUUCAUUAAAACCACAAGGCGUUCG
Molecule: ribosomal RNA, 491 nt
Filed under: uncultured Weissella sp.
Lineage: Bacteria; Bacillati; Bacillota; Bacilli; Lactobacillales; Lactobacillaceae
Description: partial 16S ribosomal RNA
Source: RNAcentral